Molecule: ribosomal RNA, 449 nt
Filed under: uncultured bacterium
Lineage: Bacteria
Description: bacterial SSU rRNA
Rfam family: Bacterial small subunit ribosomal RNA
Source: RNAcentral
GCCAGACUCCUACGGGAGGCAGCAGUGGGGAAUAUUGGACAAUGGGGGGAACCCUGAUCCAGCGACGCCGCGUGAGUGAAGAAGUAUUUCGGUAUGUAAAGCUCUAUCAGCGGGGAAGAAAGAAAUGACGGUACCUGACUAAGAAGCCCCGGCUAACUACGUGCCAGCAGCCGCGGUAAUACGUAGGGGGCAAGCGUUAUCCGGAUUUACUGGGUGUAAAGGGAGCGUAGACGGCUAUGCAAGUCUGGAGUGAAAGGCGGGGGCCCAACCCCCGGACUGCUCUGGAAACUGUAGAGCUAGAGUGCAGGAGAGGUAAGUGGAAUUCCUAGUGUAGCGGUGAAAGGCGUAGAUAUUAGGAGGAACACCAGUGGCGAAGGCGGCUUGCUGGACUGUAACUGACGUUGAGGCUCGAAAGCGUGGGGAGCAAACAGGAUUAGAUACCCUGGUAC